This 253-nucleotide ribosomal RNA is filed under the name uncultured bacterium. RNAcentral describes it as "partial 16S ribosomal RNA". It matches the Rfam family "Bacterial small subunit ribosomal RNA", at positions 524 to 776 of the family's 1533-position model. The record is from RNAcentral.
UACGUAGGUGGCAAGCGUUGUCCGGAUUUACUGGGCGUAAAGGGCGCGUAGGCGGAUAGUUUAGUCAGAGGUAAAAGCCCAGGGCUCAACCUUGGAACUGCCUUUGAUACUGGCUAUCUUGAGUUCGGGAGAGGUGAGUGGAACGCCGAGUGUAGAGGUGAAAUUCGUAGAUAUUCGGCGGAACACCAGUGGCGAAGGCGACUCACUGGCCCGAUACUGACGCUGAGGCGCGAAAGCGUGGGGAGCAAACAGG